GAUGAAGACGUAGCGAAAUGCGAUAAGUAAUGUGAAUUGCAGAAUUCAGUGAAUCAUCGAAUCUUUGAACGCACCUUGCGCUCCUUGGUAUUCCGAGGAGCAUGCCUGUUUGAGUGUCAUUAAAUUCUCAACCUUAUUGGCUUUUGCUGAUAAUGGCUUGGACUUGGGGGUCUUUUUGCUGGCUUUCAUUAGUCUGCUCCCCUUAAAUGUAUUAGCCGGUGCCCCGCAGUGGAACCGUCUAUUGGUGUGAUAAUUAUCUACGCCGUGGACGUCUGCUAUAAUGGGUUUGCGCUGCUUCUAACCGUCUCUCGGGACAACACAAAUGACAAUUUGACCUCAAAUCAGGUAGGACUACCCGCUGAACUUAAGCAUAUCAAUAAGCGGAGGA
This 388-nucleotide unclassified non-coding RNA is filed under the name soil metagenome. RNAcentral's name for it is "partial contains 5.8S ribosomal RNA, internal transcribed spacer 2, and large subunit ribosomal RNA". The stretch from base 1 to 119 matches the Rfam family "5.8S ribosomal RNA", at positions 35 to 154 of the family's 154-position model. The record is from RNAcentral.